Non-coding RNA from Podarcis lilfordi (Lilford's wall lizard), 69 nucleotides. The record is from the annotation of a GenBank genome assembly. Lineage: Eukaryota; Metazoa; Chordata; Lepidosauria; Squamata; Lacertidae.
GCCCUAGCUCAGUGAGAGAGCAUCUGCUUUGCAUGCAGAAGGUCCCAGAUUCAUUCCCUGACAUCUCCA